RNAcentral lists this ribosomal RNA (429 nucleotides) under uncultured prokaryote. RNAcentral's name for it is "bacterial SSU rRNA". It matches the Rfam family "Bacterial small subunit ribosomal RNA", at positions 355 to 776 of the family's 1533-position model. RNAcentral also lists the same sequence under 1 other name. The record is from RNAcentral.
UUAGGAAUAUUCGUCAAUGGGGGAAACCCUGAACGAGCAAUGCCGCGUGAGUGAUGACGGUCCUCUGGAUUGUAAAACUCUGUUGUUUAGGAAAAAUUGUAUUGGUAGGAAAUGACCGAUACUUGAUGGUACUAUUCAAGAAAGCCACGGCUAACUACGUGCCAGCAGCCGCGGUAAUACGUAGGUGGCGAGCGUUAUCCGGAUUUAUUGGGCGUAAAGCGUCCGCAGACGGCUUGUUAAGUCUAGAAUCAAAGCCCGGAGCUUAACUUCGGUUCGUUCUAGAAACUGGCAGGCUUGAGUAUAGUAGAGGCAAGUGGAAUUUCUAGUGUAGCGGUAGAAUGCGUAGAUAUUAGAAGGAACACCAGUGGCGAAGGCGACUUGCUGGGCUAUUACUGACGUUCAUGGACGAAAGCGUGGGGAGCAAAUAGG